UUUUAUUCAGAACUCAUGAUUAUUUGUCAUGUACAAGAAUGCAGAAAGAAACAUUUCGGAGGAGGAACGCCUAUGUCAAAAUGUACAUAUGAAUUGUAUCUAAAUAAUAUCAGUUCAAAUCUUCUCAAUCCUCCGCGAUGUCAAAACUUUCAGAUGAUCCGCAUAGAAACUCAAAUCAGUUCUCCAUGUACAGUUCUUGAGCCAUCUCAAUCUAACAGAAACUAUGUUUCAAAGCUGGUUGUACUCACUACUGCUACUUCUGUCUAAUUGUUUGCUGUGAUUUUUGCUAAUAAUAGAAACUGAACCUACUGCCGCCUCCAUUUAAUUCCCAACUGUACAAAGAUAUCUGAUCACAUAAACUGAGCUUGAUGCUUAGCUGAAACCAUCUUUCUUAACUUCCGAAAUAACUAUCAUAUAUCGAAAGCCGAUCAAAUGCAUCAAAGUUGGCUUUGAAAUCAACCAAUUGGCUCUGAAACUG
This 478-nucleotide unclassified non-coding RNA is filed under the name Hevea brasiliensis (rubber tree). The record is from RNAcentral. Lineage: Eukaryota; Viridiplantae; Streptophyta; Magnoliopsida; Malpighiales; Euphorbiaceae.